CUACGGGACGCUCCAGUGAGGAAUAUUGCACAAUGGGGGGAACCCUGAUGCAGCAACGCCGCGUGGAGGAUGACGCAUUUCGGUGUGUAAACUCCUUUUAUAUGUCAAGAAAAUGACGGUAGCAUAUGAAUAAGCACCGGCUAACUCCGUGCCAGCAGCCGCGGUAAUACGGAGGGUGCAAGCGUUACUCGGAAUCACUGGGCGUAAAGGACGCGUAGGCGGGUUGGAAAGUCAGGUGUGAAAUCCUACAGCUUAACUGUAGAACUGCACUUGAAACUUCUAAUCUAGAGUAUGGGAGGGGGAGAUGGAAUUAGUGGUGUAGGGGUAAAAUCAGUAGAUAUCACUAGGAAUACCUAAAGCGAAGGCGAUCUCCUGGAACAUUACUGACGCUAAGGCGUGAAAGCGGGGGGAGCAAACAGGAUUAGAUACCCCCGUAGUC
Molecule: ribosomal RNA, 439 nt
Filed under: uncultured bacterium
Lineage: Bacteria
Description: partial 16S ribosomal RNA
Rfam family: Bacterial small subunit ribosomal RNA
Source: RNAcentral